CUGAAAAGUGGACAACAGCUUUAUUGUAUGAUCAAACUAUAAGAACAUCUGUGUAACAAUGGUAUUACAUAAAAAUGAAUCACACUCUCGCUAAUUAAUUAAUUAAUCCUCUCAUCACAAUCUAAUACAAGAAAGCUACAACAAUUGACAAAAAGGUGGCGGAGAGACCGGCGACGCUCAGAGAUCUAGCAGAGCUGUUUGGUGGAGGUGGGGCGGUAGUUGGAGAUGGGGUAGAGGGGUUUGUUGGGGUGGUUGGGGUGGUGGAGGAUGGUGGUGUAGCGUUGGAGGAUGGUGGUGUAGCUGUGGAAGAUGGUGGUGUAGCGGUGCCGCUGCUGGUGACAUUGAUGGCUAGCUUUUGGCCAGCAGAGCAGUGGCCGGGGAUGGCACAAACGUAGAAAUGCUCACCGGCGGAGAGAGUGAUUCUAGUUGGUGGGCUGGACCGGAGAGAGAUUGGGUUAGUGGUAUUGCAUGAGUCGUAAUUUGCCUUUGUCACCUCAGCCACAUCAUGUGCUCCAUUGUUAUAGUUGAAAACCAAGAUGUCUCCAGGCUUGAAGUUCUUGCCGGAAGCCCAGUUCUGGUAGAAAGUGGCAGUAUUAGAAAGAAGAGUCCAGCCCUGAUUGUCUCCAACAGUGUAAGUUACUCCACUACCGGAUGGUGCUGGUGAUGGGGCAGAAACCGGUGAAGGUGGUGGUGUAGAAACUGGAGAAGGUGAUGGGGCAGAAACUGGAGGAGGAGUGCUGGGCUGAGGAGCAGGAGUAGGAGUAGGAGUAGAAGGUUGAGGCGCCGGAGAAGAAGAAGAAGGUUGGGGAGCUGGAGAAGAAGUUGCAGCACUAACAUUGAUCAUCAACUUUUGACCAGCAGAGCAGUGGCCGGAAAAAUUGCAGAUGAAAUAGUGCUCUCCGGUAGCAUUAAUGGUGAAUCUAGCAGGGCUGGCGGUUUGCAAAGAAAUAGGAUUGGUUGUGGUGCAAGCAUCAUAAUCAGCUUUUCUUACUUUGGCCACAUCAUGUUGGUUGGCCGCAAAAUUAAACACAAGAGUAUCACCAACAGAGAAGGCUUGGUUUGCAGCCCAGUUGGAAUACAAUGUGGGACUGGCGGUAGGAAUAAUCCAGCCAGAGUUAUUACCCACGACAUGGGUUGUCUGAGCGGCGGAGCUCUGAAUCAAAGCAGCAACCAAAACUGCUGCAAGAAAUGUCAUGAUUAAAUUUCUUGCCAUGGAAAUGUGUUCUGAAGGUCAGGUCGCCCCUGUUCUGUUUUUACUCUGUUUCUGUCCUGUUAAGUGAUACACUGUUUUCUAGCGUUGGAGAUGAGAUGACUGAACAUAUGCUUGUGGCCUUUUCAAUUUAUAGAAUUUUUGUUCGGGCCUCAGGGACAUUGGCUGCAACGUG
This 1385-nucleotide unclassified non-coding RNA is filed under the name Hevea brasiliensis (rubber tree). The record is from RNAcentral. Lineage: Eukaryota; Viridiplantae; Streptophyta; Magnoliopsida; Malpighiales; Euphorbiaceae.